Molecule: ribosomal RNA, 433 nt
Filed under: uncultured bacterium
Lineage: Bacteria
Description: bacterial SSU rRNA
Rfam family: Bacterial small subunit ribosomal RNA
Source: RNAcentral
UGAGGAAUAUUGGUCAAUGGGCGGGAGCCUGAACCAGCCAAGCCGCGUGAGGGAGGAAGGCCCUAUGGGUCGUAAACCUCUUUUGUCAGGGAACAAAAGCGAGUAUGUAUACUAGUCUGAGUGUACCUGAAGAAAAAGCGUCGGCUAACUCCGUGCCAGCAGCCGCGGUAAUACGGAGGAUGCGAGCGUUAUCCGGAUUUAUUGGGUUUAAAGGGUGCGUAGGCGGCGGUGCAAGUCAGCGGUAAAAGCCCGGGGCUCAACCCCGGCGAGCCGUUGAAACUGCAGUGCUAGAGAAGGCGAGAGGUACGCGGAAUGCGCAGUGUAGCGGUGAAAUGCUUAGAUAUUGCGCAGAACUCCGAUUGCGAAGGCAGCGUACUGGCGCCUGACUGACGCUGAGGCGCGAAAGCGUGGGGAUCGAACAGGAUUAGAUACC